UGGCUUUUGUUUUGGAUGUGGGUGUAUGGCACACAGAAGAAUAAAGGAAUGUAAUGACACUCCAGCGAAUUUUAAGGAAUUGCCAGAAGACGAUUUACCUUUCUCUCUAGCCCUAAAAGCAGAAUCAAACUUGAUGGGGAAGGUAAAUAUGUGACUAGGAGCAAACAUGAAGAAAUCGAUGACACAAUGUUUCUAUUUAAGGGGAGAUCUGAUGAAAAAAAAG
Molecule: long non-coding RNA, 223 nt
Filed under: Gossypium raimondii (Peruvian cotton)
Lineage: Eukaryota; Viridiplantae; Streptophyta; Magnoliopsida; Malvales; Malvaceae
Description: long non-coding RNA (GRAI_LNC001978)
Source: RNAcentral